RNAcentral lists this ribosomal RNA (1054 nucleotides) under Microbacterium paraoxydans. Its description in RNAcentral is "bacterial SSU rRNA". It matches the Rfam family "Bacterial small subunit ribosomal RNA", at positions 374 to 1438 of the family's 1533-position model. The record is from RNAcentral. Lineage: Bacteria; Bacillati; Actinomycetota; Actinomycetes; Micrococcales; Microbacteriaceae.
GGCGAAAGCCUGAUGCAGCAACGCCGCGUGAGGGAUGACGGCCUUCGGGUUGUAAACCUCUUUUAGCAGGGAAGAAGCGAAAGUGACGGUACCUGCAGAAAAAGCGCCGGCUAACUACGUGCCAGCAGCCGCGGUAAUACGUAGGGCGCAAGCGUUAUCCGGAAUUAUUGGGCGUAAAGAGCUCGUAGGCGGUUUGUCGCGUCUGCUGUGAAAUCCCGAGGCUCAACCUCGGGCCUGCAGUGGGUACGGGCAGACUAGAGUGCGGUAGGGGAGAUUGGAAUUCCUGGUGUAGCGGUGGAAUGCGCAGAUAUCAGGAGGAACACCGAUGGCGAAGGCAGAUCUCUGGGCCGUAACUGACGCUGAGGAGCGAAAGGGUGGGGAGCAAACAGGCUUAGAUACCCUGGUAGUCCACCCCGUAAACGUUGGGAACUAGUUGUGGGGUCCAUUCCACGGAAUCCGUGACGCAGCUAACGCAUUAAGUUCCCCGCCUGGGGAGUACGGCCGCAAGGCUAAAACUCAAAGGAAUUGACGGGGACCCGCACAAGCGGCGGAGCAUGCGGAUUAAUUCGAUGCAACGCGAAGAACCUUACCAAGGCUUGACAUAUACGAGAACGGGCCAGAAAUGGUCAACUCUUUGGACACUCGUAAACAGGUGGUGCAUGGUUGUCGUCAGCUCGUGUCGUGAGAUGUUGGGUUAAGUCCCGCAACGAGCGCAACCCUCGUUCUAUGUUGCCAGCACGUAAUGGUGGGAACUCAUGGGAUACUGCCGGGGUCAACUCGGAGGAAGGUGGGGAUGACGUCAAAUCAUCAUGCCCCUUAUGUCUUGGGCUUCACGCAUGCUACAAUGGCCGGUACAAAGGGCUGCAAUACCGUGAGGUGGAGCGAAUCCCAAAAAGCCGGUCCCAGUUCGGAUUGAGGUCUGCAACUCGACCUCAUGAAGUCGGAGUCGCUAGUAAUCGCAGAUCAGCAACGCUGCGGUGAAUACGUUCCCGGGUCUUGUACACACCGCCCGUCAAGUCAUGAAAGUCGGUAACACCUGAAGCCGGUGGCCUAA